CGUAAACAACCUGCCUUAAGGAUGGGGAUAACAGACGGAAACGACUGCUAAUACCGAAUACGUUCUAAGCAUCGCAUAGUGCAUAGAAGAAAGGGUGGCCUCUACAAGAAAGCUAUCGCCUUAAGAGGGGUUUGCGACUGAUUAGGUAGUUGGUGAGGUAACGGCUCACCAAGCCGACGAUCAGUAGCCGGUCUGAGAGGAUGAACGGCCACACUGGAACUGAGACACGGUCCAG
This 235-nucleotide ribosomal RNA is filed under the name uncultured bacterium. RNAcentral's name for it is "partial 16S ribosomal RNA". It matches the Rfam family "Bacterial small subunit ribosomal RNA", at positions 116 to 334 of the family's 1533-position model. The record is from RNAcentral.